This is a non-coding RNA of Pelobates cultripes (western spadefoot toad), 232 nucleotides long. NCBI's taxonomy places the organism in Eukaryota, Metazoa, Chordata, Amphibia, Anura, Pelobatidae. The record is from the annotation of a GenBank genome assembly.
CAGAAUUUUACAUUACAUGAAAAUAGUAGCGCCAGUAGCAUGCACCAGGGAGUUUUGGCAGAGAAAAAAAAAGUGUCACACCUAUUUGCGGUUGGUGGUUUGAUUGAAGAUGAUGGUUUUACUGCAUCAAGAGAAGGGCUGUCUGUUGGAUUAGGAGAUACUGUAAUCACACAGCGGGAUACUCUAAAUCUUUAAAGAAACCAAAAUCUCAGACAGCAGUUCAUGAUAAUCU